CGCGCAGAGAUAUCAUAGUAGGUGCACAUCAGCUCCACUUCACCGCACCUCUACAGGCGCAAGGAGGGAGAACACCAAUUUCUCGCGAGGGGCUUCGCUGAGUACACAUAACAGCGCUGACGCUUUCCUUGCCACCGCAUCUCGUCUUAGCGAUGGAGGCGGGAAUAGAGGCCACAGCAACGCCGGCGGCUGUGUCAAGGCCGCCGGCGGCACCCCGCCCAGGCAGGAAUACUCGCCGCAUACUCGUCUUGUACCUAGGGGGAACCAUUGGCAUGAAGAAGAACGCCGCAGGCGCGCUGGAGCCCGUCGCCGGAUACCUGACGGAGCAGAUGCGCGAGAUGCGAGAGCUGCGGGAGAGCUCCGAAAUCGCGCCAUUCGACAUCAUAGAGUACGCCGAGCUCCUCGACAGCAGCGACAUGAACGCCGACGACUACUGUCGCAUCGCCGCGGAUGUGCAGGUGCACUACGACGAGUACGACGGUUUUCUCAUCGCGCACGGCACGGACACGAUGCACUACACGGCGAGUGCACUUUCUUUCCUGCUGUGCAACCUUGGCAAGCCGGUGAUCGUGACAGGGGCGAUGGUGGCGCUGGCGGAGCCGUACAACGAUGCCCGCCGCAACGUGGUGAUCGGGAUGAUGAUCGCAUCCAACCCCAAGAUUUGUGAGGUGUGUAUCUUCUUCAACGACAGCCUGUUUCGCGGCAACCGGUGCAACAAGGUCUAUCAUACGUACGGCGCCUUCCGCUCCCUCAACUACCCGGCGCUUGGCGUUGUGGGGGCUACCGAUUUCGUGCUGAAGGACGAGCAUCUGCUCCCGCAACCAAUGGGUGCCUUGAAAAUUAUGUCGGACAUGCGUGGACGCGUGGGCUGCUACCCGAUCGACCCCGAGGCCGACGUGGACACCUUCGUCGCAUUGCUGGAGCAGAAGCGGCCAAGGUCGUCUCCCUGCGCCUUCUCCGUCACGGCAGCACCCUCGACGGACGACAGCGACGGCGCGCAGAAACCCCUGCUGGAUGCUGUGCUGCUGUCUCUCAACGGUGUUGGUAGCGUGCAGGGCGUCGUAGCGCAGCAGCUGCGGCGAAUCGUCGCUGUUGCGCACAAGCACAAUAUCGUUGUCUGUGCUGUGGCUCGUGAUAUCAGCGGCACGCUGAACCCGUCCGAGGUCCAGCGCCUGCACGCCAUCUCGCCCGAGAUCGUGUACCUGAACGACAUGUGCGCCUCCGCUGCGGAGGUGAAGCUCAUGUACCUGUUCGGCAAAGGGCUCAGUCCUGCAAAGGUAGCCGCCGCCAUGACGCAGAAUCUGCGAGGCGAAAUCACCCCGCUACUCGAAGUGCAUGCGAAGCUGUGAAGACUGGCUUAGCAGAAGGCGGGGACGGGGCGACGGAGGAGGAGAGUCACGAGACUGGGGGUGGACUCCGCAGCCACCUCUGCGCCUCUCGCCCGUUGAGCUGCAGCCGCGCACGGGCAGACGGUGAGAAGACGAAGGAGCUAUAUGCAUAUUUGUGCUCGCUUUUCAGAGAGUAGAGAGAGGGUGGCAUCGGCGAUCUGCACAUGUGUCUUGCAGCGCCGAUGACGAGCUGUCGCUGAUACACACAGACACACUGCGCACCUGCCCUCACUCGUCCCUCUACCUCUACCUCUCCCUGGCGCUCUUGUGAAUGCUAGACAUCGAGCAACCGAAGCAGCACACACAAGCAUGGUGCACGCAGGUGUGCACGCCGAUGUGUAGGGAGGCCUCUCAGCGGUAUUCUUUUUGGCCGAGCGGCAUGCGAAGCACCGCUGAGCUCUCUUCCCCUUUCUCUAUCUCUGUCGUGUUUCUUGUCUGCUGAAUCACCUCACCACACCCUUCCAG
This 1853-nucleotide unclassified non-coding RNA is filed under the name Leishmania donovani. RNAcentral's name for it is "gene:LdHU3.15.0540(CDS-product:cytoplasmic_l-aspa raginase_i-like_protein)". The record is from RNAcentral. Lineage: Eukaryota; Euglenozoa; Kinetoplastea; Trypanosomatida; Trypanosomatidae.